Molecule: ribosomal RNA, 490 nt
Filed under: uncultured bacterium
Lineage: Bacteria
Description: partial 16S ribosomal RNA
Rfam family: Bacterial small subunit ribosomal RNA
Source: RNAcentral
AUUGAACGCUGGCGGCAGGCCUAACACAUGCAAGUCGAACGGUAACAGGAAACAGCUUGCUGUUUCGCUGACGAGUGGCGGACGGGUGAGUAAUGUCUGGGAAACUGCCUGAUGGAGGGGGAUAACUACUGGAAACGGUAGCUAAUACCGCAUAACGUCGCAAGACCAAAGAGGGGGACCUUCGGGCCUCUUGCCAUCAGAUGUGCCCAGAUGGGAUUAGCUAGUAGGUGGGGUAACGGCUCACCUAGGCGACGAUCCCUAGCUGGUCUGAGAGGAUGACCAGCCACACUGGAGCUGAGACACGGUCCAGACUCCUACGGGAGGCAGCAGUGGGGAAUAUUGCACAAUGGGCGCAAGCCUGAUGCAGCCAUGCCGCGUGUAUGAAGAAGGCCUUCGGGUUGUAAAGUACUUUCAGCGGGGAUGAAGGGAGUAAAGUUAAUACCUUGGCUCAUUGACGUUACCCGCAGAAGAAGCACCGGCUAACUCCGUG